UCGCUAGUAAUCGCGGAUCAGCAUGCCGCGGUGAAUACGUUCCCGGGCCUUGUACACACCGCCCGUCACACCACGAGAGUUGGCAACACCCGAAGUCGGUGAGGUAACCUUUAUGGAGCCAGCCGCCGAAGGUGGGGCCAAUGAUUGGGGUGAAGUCGUAACAAGGUAGCCGUAUCGGAAGGUGCGGCUG
Molecule: ribosomal RNA, 190 nt
Filed under: Virgibacillus carmonensis
Lineage: Bacteria; Bacillati; Bacillota; Bacilli; Caryophanales; Bacillaceae
Description: partial 16S ribosomal RNA
Rfam family: Bacterial small subunit ribosomal RNA
Source: RNAcentral